Molecule: long non-coding RNA, 827 nt
Filed under: Numida meleagris (helmeted guineafowl)
Lineage: Eukaryota; Metazoa; Chordata; Aves; Galliformes; Numididae
Description: lncRNA (ENSNMEG00000008807.1)
Source: RNAcentral
CUAAGCUCAGUCUCACCCAGUCCUUCUGAUGUUAGGACAAGCUGGAUCACAAGGGGAUUUAUUUUCUGCAACACUUCCUUACCCUUUAACUCUACAUCCUGCUGUUCUGAGAGGGUCCUCCACCUGGGAGCCUUCCCUACCCAGCAGCAUGCUGCAGACAGGCAGCUCCUUCACUGCAGAGGACCCUCAAGGAAAUGGAAGCCUCUCUGUGAGAGAAGAGGAUCAAGGAAACCAGGCUGAGGGAUUCACAUGGGCUGCACAGAUUUCAGAGCUAGUGUUAAGAAAAAUUCUCCAUUUCACUAACCAUGUUGAAAUCCUUCUUCAGAAUGAAAUCAACAUCAGAAGCUAGAUUUAAACCUCAGGAAAGAUUAAGAGGAGAGAGGACAACAAGUAACAACUUGUCCAUUUUGUAUGACUUCACCACCAUUGCCCUCAGAUGGAAGAUUCAUAUUUGUUUCAGUAACUGUGACGGUAUCAUGAUAUUUAUUUGUCAAGAAUGGAAUUCUUAACAGUUUUAAGAUUUUGUUUAUGCUGAAAUACCUGGGCUAGGUUUCUGUGCACUAGAUUAUGAAACAGCAGCCUUAGAGUUGCAUUAGACCUGUGCUGUGUCUAAGCAUUUCUGCUGAGAGACAAGAUCAAUGAUGUUACAUGAAACACGAAGCUAAUGCAUCUCUGUGGUCUGCAGGAUUUGACUGAGUACAGAUAGCCCAGCUGUUUCUCACAGAACAUUGCAUGACAUGGAAUUCAUGCACCAGAUGUACUCCUAGGUAACAGAGGUCAAAUUUUUCUUUUAUUGUGAAGUCCAAAAUAAAGUUUAAAAAGUGGGA